AACGAACGCUGGCGGCAGGCCUAACACAUGCAAGUCGAACGCUGUAGCAAUACAGAGUGGCAGACGGGUGAGUAACGCGUGGGAACCUACCCUUUGGUUCGGAAUAGCUCAGGGAAACUUGAGGUAAUACCGGAUAAGCCCUUCGGGGGAAAGAUUUAUCGCCAAAGGAUGAGCCCGCGUCGGAUUAGCUAGUUGGUGGGGUAACGGCCUACCAAGGCGACGAUCCGUAGCUGGUCUGAGAGGAUGAUCAGCCACACUGGGACUGAGACACGGCCCAGACUCCUACGGGAGGCAGCAGUGGGGAAUAUUGGACAAUGGGGGCAACCCUGAUCCGGCCAUGCCGCGUGAGUGACGAAGGUCUUCGGAUUGUAAAGCUCUUUUGGCGGGGAAGAUAAUGACGGUACCCGCAGAAUAAGCCCCGGCUAACUUCGUGCCAGCCGCCGCGGUAA
Molecule: ribosomal RNA, 449 nt
Filed under: uncultured bacterium
Lineage: Bacteria
Description: partial 16S ribosomal RNA
Rfam family: Bacterial small subunit ribosomal RNA
Source: RNAcentral